This 315-nucleotide ribosomal RNA is filed under the name Liocranidae sp. Dominican Republic MR160. Its description in RNAcentral is "partial 12S ribosomal RNA". The record is from RNAcentral. Lineage: Eukaryota; Metazoa; Arthropoda; Arachnida; Araneae; Liocranidae.
AGAUAGUAUUAAUAAUAUAAAUCUAUUUAAUUUGGCGGCAUUCAAUCUUACUAGAGGAACUUGUUACCUAAUUGAUAAUCCACACUACAUUUCACUUAAAUUCUAAAAUUUAUAUACCGCCAUCCAAAGAAUUAAUUACAAAAUUCUAUUCCUAAUAACAUAAUAAAAAGUUAGGUCAAGGUGUAAUCAAUAUUUAAGAUACUAAUGAGUUACAUUAAACACAAUUUAAGAAUUAUUUUAUACCAUAAAUAUGAAAAAGAAUUUACUAGUAUUUUAAAAAAAAAUAAUUUUAAAAGAAAAAGAUAAUAAAUGUGC